This 355-nucleotide ribosomal RNA is filed under the name Klebsiella pneumoniae. RNAcentral describes it as "bacterial SSU rRNA". It matches the Rfam family "Bacterial small subunit ribosomal RNA", at positions 321 to 668 of the family's 1533-position model. The record is from RNAcentral. Lineage: Bacteria; Pseudomonadati; Pseudomonadota; Gammaproteobacteria; Enterobacterales; Enterobacteriaceae.
GAGACACGGUCCAGACUCCUACGGGAGGCAGCAGUGGGGAAUAUUGCACAAUGGGCGCAAGCCUGAUGCAGCCAUGCCGCGUGUAUGAAGAAGGCCUUCGGGUUGUAAAGUACUUUCAGCGGGGAGGAAGGCAAUAAGGUUAAUAACCUUGUCCAUUGACGUUACCCGCAGAAGAAGCACCGGCUAACUCCGUGCCAGCAGCCGCGGUAAUACGGAGGGUGCAAGCGUUAAUCGGAAUUACUGGGCGUAAAGCGCACGCAGGCGGUCUGUCAAGUCGGAUGUGAAAUCCCCGGGCUCAACCUGGGAACUGCAUUCGAAACUGGCAGGCUGGAGUCUUGUAGAGGGGGGUAGAAUU